This 118-nucleotide ribosomal RNA is filed under the name Pteropus alecto (black flying fox). The record is from RNAcentral. Lineage: Eukaryota; Metazoa; Chordata; Mammalia; Chiroptera; Pteropodidae.
GUCUGCGGCCAUGCCACCCUGAACAAGCCCGAUCCCGUCUGAUCUCGGAAGCUAAGCAGGUCGCGCCUGGUUAGUACUUGGAUGGGAGACCACCUAGGAAGACCAGGUGCUGUAGGCA